Molecule: long non-coding RNA, 4964 nt
Organism: Girardinichthys multiradiatus
Lineage: Eukaryota; Metazoa; Chordata; Actinopteri; Cyprinodontiformes; Goodeidae
Exons: 8
Source: RefSeq, a predicted model, not a curated record
CGCUAGCUAUAUGUUAAGUGUAUGGGUCAUAAUUUGCUGCUGCGUCUCAAGGAAAAUCUUUUAUCAAGUCGACACUUUUCAUAAAUAUGGACAGUAUGAAAUAUGAAAAGCUCCUCAACUAUAAAGUCAAAGGUGACUAUCCACAUCCUUCAACAAAACAACAAAAACAUCUAAUUCGAAGGAAAGCUUCUUCGUACCGCUUUGAAGGAAAUGACAUCUUCUAUGUAAGACACAAAGGCAGUCUUACAUCAACAAAGAUCAAAGUUAUUAAAGGUGCUGAGGAAGCAGAAAGAGUCUUUGUGGACUUCCAUGACAGCCCUACAGGGACACAUCGUGGCCAGAUUAAAACACUAGAUGCCAUCUCAAGGAGGUUUUAUUGGCCAUGAAUGUCUGUUGACAUCAAGAAAUGGAACUUUUCAGGUCUCUGAGUGCUCAUCCUGUCAAGCCAGUGCCCAAGCCCUGAAACAGCCGUCAGAGUACACUCCCAUAAAGGUAAACUAAUUAAAAGUAAAAAGAAGCACUUUUAGUGAAACUACAUGGUAGUGCGGUGGUAAGCACAGUGGCCUCAACAUACAAAGAUGUUUGGUAUUAAGGUAUUUUCUAUGUGGGGUUUGCAUGUCCGACCAAUGGGUCUUCUCAGGAUAGGAUAGGUUUCAUUAACUCUUAACUUUAAAUUGCUCCUAUAAGUGAGUAUCAGUGGUUGUUUGUCCGGUUUUCUCUGUGUGUUCUCACUAGGGGUACACAUCUGGAACGAGUUGAUGUAAAAAACGGAAAACUAGCUGAGAAAUCCCUACCCCUUCCUCAUCAUCAGAUGUGCAUGAUACUUUUAUGGGGAAAGAUGUCCAUGUCCUUCUAUCGAGAGUGAAUGCAAGUUGCUUUACUCUGACAUAAAUAAAAUCAGUCCUGAUAUAGAACUGGAGAGUGAGUCUAUCCAUGCAUUUAUGGCUGUUAUCAUAAAGGAUUACAACAUCCAGAAUACAGGACUGGCUGCUUUUAUAGAUUCAUUUGCAAUGACAGCAAUGUGGCAGGGAAAAAGUCCGAGAUUAAAGUGGUGAUCUACCCACAAGACAAAAGGUUUUUGUUCUUGAAUCCACUAGGGGAGUCAAAGCAAGACAUCCAGAAAUGUUUGCAAAUCACGAGGCCACUUAUGAGGAAGAAGGGAUGCAGUGUGUCAAGGUGGACCUGUGAUACUGUCAAACAUCCCGAACAACAGGACAGUUCAUCAUGUGGAGUAUUUGCAUUAAAGGUGCAUACAUAUUUUCACACAAUGAAUGAUUUUAUGAUUAUGAUAAACAUUUUGAAGCAUAUGAACUUUGUUACUUUCUUUCAUUUAAAGCCAUUAAAUCCAGCUUUACAUGUCAGUUUGCAGAAAGACGUCUUGCAAAAGAGGCUGUGGAUUUUCAACAGGGACUACAAUAACAUUUAUUUUAGAAAAUGAUUUAUUUGUUCACAAAUAGAUAAAUUCAACCAUUAUAUUUUCUGUUAUUAUUAAAGUUCAUAAUGCUACUUUUAUCACUAAUUAUGUCCAAAAAUGGUACAUACUCAUAGACACCUCCUGAAUAAAUUGUGUUUGUGCUUAUCACAUCCUGUUUAAUAGUUACCAGAUAUAGUGGCCAUAUAUAAAUCUCAAAGCAAGUCACUGAGCUCCACAGACAAACAAACUUUGAAACACAAAAAUUUGCUGAGUGAAUAUGCAAAAACAUGAAAAACUGUAUAUAUAGGUAUGAUUUUAUACUUUACAUUUAUUCUUAUCAGAUGACUCAGAUGACUUGUGCCACUUCUGCAGAGAGAUGGAAAACAAGACAGACUUGGACUGGGUAACAAUAUUUUAAAAUUAUUCAAACAUAACUGUUUGAACAUAACAAAAACGGUAAUUUUAUCUUGCUUAUACAAGCUUUAAUAGGGUCCUACCCUCCUGUAGACCGAAGUUGGAAUAAGUUGGAAUAGAAAAUGAAUAGAUGUUGUAAUUGUAAAGAGAUAUUCUAGUUGAAAAUGCCUUGUAUUAUUUGUCCCUUUUUUAGAUCCAAUGCGAGACGUGCCUGAGGUGGUUUCAUCAGGCAUGAAAACACAUUCAAGUGCUUUGCAUGUUCUCCUUAAGUUUGUGUGAAUGCUGUGGUGUGCUUGUUUGUUUAGGCUUUCUUUAAAAGUGAAUAAAUUACAGUUUGAAAAAUAAGCUUGAUAUUUUUCUUUACAAAACUUCAUAUAAGGUAACUAUGGGAAGGAAAGAGCCACAAAGUCUCAAAAUUCACUGGAUGUAACAUCCAUGAUUCUGGUAAGUUAUUUUGUUUCCAUGUUAUGAGUGGGGAACAGAAUAUUUCAGCUUCCUGAAAUAUUCUGGAAUAUUCUGAAUACCUUUGAAUUAUCUCAUAAUAUUAAAAUAGUCCAUGACGAGAGGAAUGAACACAGUAAAACAUUUGCCUGUAAGUUAUUUUGUUCACAUGUUAUGAGGGGGGAACAGAAUAUUUCAGACAGUCAAAAUAAAAGGUUCCCAUCUGUACCUUUGCCAAAUAAAGAGCAAAUGUGUCCAAAUUCACAAGGAUAGUUUUGUAUGAUAUGAGGAAUGAUCGACCCAAAACAUAAGAUGAUUGGUUAAUCCAUGUCCCAUGGGGUAACAACAUCAGACAUUACCGAUAAAAAAUUAGCUACUAGAAAUAUCUUUCAUAAAUCCAGCAUUUUGUCAUAUUUUACAUUAGAACGCGAUUUACCAGAAUGAUAAGCUACACUCUAUUCAGGAAGCCUGAUUUUUCGUCUCCAGCAGAGUGAGCUUACAUUGUUUUAUAACAGUAAUAAAAAACAUAAACACAACGUGUUUGGUGGCUGACUGAUGUCCGUCAGGUUAAAGUGAACAUAAUUUCGCACAACACCGGAACCCCAUAUUAAUAAUGAUUAACAGGACUCCUACACAGUCUGCAAAAGUAUGAAAUUUGAUGUCAGUAGCCUAUUUUCCAGAUGAACAUAUGGAAGAACAUUUGCCGUCCAUACUUUAUCCCGUUUCAUUGUCUAAAUGACUCCUCAUGUCAUUCUUUCCCUUCUCUCUCCCUUGUGUCCUUUCUUGUGCCCUUUAUUUGUCACAAAUACACAUUUUUGUUCCGCUUUACAAUCAGGCACUGUUUUCUGUUGGCUGACCCCAUAAAGUCCCAAUAAAAACACUGGUGUAUUGUUCGUAACAUAAAAAAUGUAUAUAGUUCAAGUGGGAUGAAUACUUUAGCAAGGUAUUGCUUAAGUCAAAUUCAGAUUCAUGAAAUAAUUAAUUUACAGUCAUCUAUCUGAUCAGCACUCUGUGGAACCAUUAGUACUAUGUUCUAAUUAUUUUUGUUUGAACCAUUUAUGCAUAACAUCUAUCAUACAUUUGUCAAUGCAUUUAUCAACUAUGUUCUUUUCCAAAAUAAAUUAAUACAAAUGAAAGAAUAUUAUUACUUCUGUUUAAAAGAACUAGAAAGGAGAACUUGUAAUGGUUUUUUUUUUUUUUUAUGUUUUUAACUCUACAACACUUAGGGUUAAAGUAGAAGCUGUACUAAAAAAACCUUACAGAUAAGAAAAUGUGGCUACUUUCACUUAAGGAAAAGGUUUUUAGACAGAUAGCAGAGAUAAUCAUCGGAAAACUUAAACAAUUGUUACUUACACAUUUGUCAGAGUGCAGAACUGUGACAGUCCUUUGAGAAAUAUAACAUCUGGCCACUCGCAUGGGAAAUCACAUAGAUGGGUACAUCACAUAUAUUGUAUGCUAUAUGAUACGAUUAUAAUAAAAAAAAAUGGCAAUAACUUCUUCCACAUUGAUAUAGGGUUAAGCAAAAAAAGAUUUUCUUCGCAAAGCAGAAAAGUGUUACUGUUUUUUUUUUUUUACUAUGUUUUGUUCUGUCUUUAAAGAAAAGCAUACCUUACUUCCCAAGCUACAGCCCAAGCUUGCUUUAACUGAUCCUCAUCCUUUUUGUAUGCAUAACUAUUGCACCCAUUGACAGCAAUAAGUAGUGGCCAAUCAGAGAUGGAGAAGGGCAGGUCAUCGUAGCACACUUGUGUCUUCCUGAGGUCAACAAGACAGUCAGUCAGUCAGUCAGUCAGUAAUUUUCUACCGCAACAUAUACUUUACAUACAAUUAACCAAAUUACCUAUCUCUUUAACAUUUAACUUUCGCCAAAUUGGCUCCCCUGAUGUGUAAAAAUAUUUAUUUUAUUAGACACGGAGACAUGGCAUGGAGGCUUAGUUCUUAGUUACUGUUCAAAAAACGGUAAAACAACAGAACAUUCCAUUAAAAUCAGAUUGGCAGAUGCUGAUCCUCAAACAUCAGAAAGCGGCUAAAGAAAGCUGCUACUUUCCUAAACUUGCCCAUAUGUAUGGUAAAGUUUUAAUCAAAACUGCCAAAUUGACAAAAUCUAGUCAGGAUGGAGUCUGGUUGAGGACCCAUGGUUUUGCUUUCUACCACUCACAGUAAGGAGGAAAUGAGGAAGGUACAAAAUAAUCUAUAUUGUUACAGCUUAGCAAGCUUAGCAACUGCAGCUUAGCAAGCCUAGCAUCUUGGCUUCAACAGGUUCUGAUAAAAACUAAUUCUUUUAGGACUUUUGUAUUUAUCUUUUCCAGUGAAUUGGGGACAGGGCUUCAUAAAUAAACAAAACCUCAGACAUUUGACAUUUUGACCUCUAACUGUUUAACUUUUUAAAACUGUAACCAAACUAGGUUUUUACACAGAUUUACGUUUAACCCUUAACAGUAUCAUAAAAGUACAGAAAUAUAACUUUAUUUUACAAAUGUAAAAAGAAUCACGGAAAAAAAACAAUCUUGCAUUAAAAUCUAGGCUCUCAAUCUAACUGGCGACUACAGAGAUUUUAUGCUGUGUAGGCUCAUCUUAAAAAAAAACCAAAAAAAAAAAAAAAAAAACCUUUGCAAGCGUAUUCUCAUGAUCAACAAAUUAAUUUGAGUCACUUUCAAUCUUAUUCAUGGCUAAAGCACGUAGGAAGGGAAAGUCAUCC